Long non-coding RNA from Neofelis nebulosa (Clouded leopard), 414 nucleotides. RefSeq lists it as uncharacterized. The record is from RefSeq and is a predicted model, not a curated record. Lineage: Eukaryota; Metazoa; Chordata; Mammalia; Carnivora; Felidae. The transcript has 2 exons.
AGCGCGGGCUACGCCCCCUCACCUCCCAGCUCCUUAGGUUGGAGGCUCCCACCUGCGCGAAGCAUUUGGUACCCAGGUGGGAAUGGAGGGCAUUCGAUGGGCGGAGAUGGGAGGGCUGGAAAUUGACAGGGUGAGAAUUGGGGAGACUAAUCCCUCCCCCUUCGGUCCCCGCUCUUCACUCACCCCCUGGUUGAGGGCCUGGGCCUUUGCAUAAUGUUGACGCGCCUGGAGAGGAGGGUGCUUCCCAACGGCUCCUGUUCGACCCCCAACCCCGGGCCAAGGGCACGGAGAGAAGCUGGGGCGGGGGACCAGCGGGAGGAGAAAGAGCACACCAUAUGACAGGCUUCUGGAAACAGAUCCCAUGCCAACUUGGAUUCUGUCCUUCUCUCCAAUAAAAGGAACUUUUCGCUUGUG